AUAAACAAUUAUUAAUUAGAAAUUAUUUAAAAAAUAAUUAUAAAAAAUAAUAAUUAGUGAGAUAUUUUUUUUUAAAAAAAAUAAAUAUAAUUGAUAUGAUAUAAUAUGUAUACCAAAUGUAUUGUGUGCUGCUGUGUAAAGUGACGAAACCAUAACAGUUACGGAAGUUUCACACGGAAAAUGGGCAUUGUAACAAUGUCUAUACUCAUUCUAAUACAUUCGUCCUUCCAAGAAAAUUAGUUCAAGUCGGGUAUCAUAUGACCCAACUACCUUACUUUUUUUUUGCAAAUUAAUUAGUCACUCUCAUUUUCGGCAGUCAAAACUGCCACUCUCAUUUUCAGAGAGACGAUGAUGCUAUCAGCAUAUGACAUUAGCUAUGUUCUAGAAUAGAAAUACUAUAAAACUCCAUGCAAUAGUUGAUUUUAUUGUAAAAAUAACCUAAAAAUGCAAUAAAAUCCCAGGCUGGAGAUUUCUGAACCGCUGGUCAAAAAAAUGAAAGGUAUAGGAAGAUAGUGCCUAUGGAGUCAAGGAUUCUGUAAUUAGAAUCCUUCUACAAAGUCAGUCAGGAAUAAAAUUUCGGUAUGCAGCAAAACUCGCUUUCAUACCACCAACAAUGUAGCCGAGUACGAGACCAUAAUCAUGACACUAAGGAUUAUGGUAGAAAUAUAUAUAUAUAAAUCUGUUAUUUUUAGUGACGCACAACUAGUUAUUAAUCAGUGACAGUUCAAAGUUUGGGAUCCAAAUCUCAUCAAAUAUGAAGAGAAAAUCCAGUCUUUAAGGACGAGGAUCAAGGAGAGGCAAGGCGAAUGUCAACUUCGCCAAGUGGCUAGGAAAAAAACUGAUCAGUUGGCAAAAAUGGUAGCGGUAGGCGAGCAACACUACUCAGUCAUUCCAAUUCGAAGUACUACCCACUCUAGUAACCAAUGAAGAUGAGUCUCUAUCCAUCAAGGAGGGAGAAUCGUAGAUGACUCCGGUGUACAGAUUGCUGAUCGAGGACGAGUUGCCAAUGGAUGAAGUAUCGGCCAAACAGAUAAUAAAAAGGUUCUCUAGAUAUGCACUAAUAAAUGGUUGGUUGUACAGAAGAUCGUUAAUACAAUCGUGGUUACGGUGCGUAACAAAGGAUGAUGGUCGGAGUAUUCUCAGAGAUAUCUAUGAAAGGAGAUUGCGGAAGCCAUUAGGAGCUUGGACGAUCACUUGGAAGGCACUCAGACAAGGAUAUUACUCACUAAAGGUAGUGCAGGAUGUAAAGGAACUUGUCCAGAAGUGCUGAUGGUGUCAAGUGCAUGCAAACAUUCCUUGAACCCUCGGUGAACUGCAAGCAGCAAUUGGAAGCCCUGGCCCUUUUUUUUCAAUGGAGGCAAGACAUCUUUAGCCUAUUUCCAAAAGCAACAAGGUCAAGGAAGUUCGUGAUUGUGACAGUUAACCAUUUCAGCAAGUGGGCCAAGGCAAAAGCAGUCUAGUCCAUCACCACGCAAUAGACAAUCUCCUUAGUCAGUAAAUUCACCCAUUUCAGAAUCUCUAAGGUAGUUAUCACUGAUAAUGUGACUCAGUUUGCGAGUUUCAAGUUUAAAGACUUGUACAGGAAAUGAAAAAUUGACCUAAGAUUUAGCUCAGCAUUCUUUCCUCAAACUAAUUGCAUGAUUGAGAUUACAAAUAGGACAAUUCUAUAAGAUUUGAAGAAAAGGCUCGACAAAGCCAAAGGCAAUUGGCUCGAGGAGCUAACCCAUAUCCUCUAUGCAUAUAGAAUAACUCCAAGAGCAACUACAGGAGAAAUCUCGUUCUCACUGGUAUAUGGGGCUGAAGAAUUAAUUCCUAUGGAGGUCCAAGUAAGUAAUUUCAGGACUCAGUACGCCGAGUCCUCAGAGGACCCCGAGAAGAUGCAAUUCAACCUUGACUAAGCCGAGUUGUUACGAGAGCAAAUUGCGAUUAGAAUGGCGGCCUACAAGAGUAAAAUGUCCCAGAUGUUCAACACUAGAGUCAAACUCCGAGUCUUUAAUGUAGGAGAUUUAGAGAAUAAGGACUGAUGUAACAAGCGAUAGUGUCGGGUCUAAUAAGUUGGGUGAAAAUUGAAAAUAAGUAUUUAGAGUCUCAAAGGUUAUUUGCUCUGGGGCUUAUAAGUUGACCAAGUUAAACGGCCGAGUUAUUCUUCAUUUUGGAAUAUUUGUAAUUUAUGCACGUUUUAUUAAUAAAUAUUAACGAAG
Molecule: long non-coding RNA, 2201 nt
Filed under: Manihot esculenta (cassava)
Lineage: Eukaryota; Viridiplantae; Streptophyta; Magnoliopsida; Malpighiales; Euphorbiaceae
Description: long non-coding RNA (MESC_LNC003805)
Source: RNAcentral